Molecule: transfer RNA, 73 nt
Filed under: Escherichia coli
Lineage: Bacteria; Pseudomonadati; Pseudomonadota; Gammaproteobacteria; Enterobacterales; Enterobacteriaceae
Description: tRNA-Glu
Rfam family: tRNA
About the family: Transfer RNA (tRNA) molecules are approximately 80 nucleotides in length. Their secondary structure includes four short double-helical elements and three loops (D, anti-codon, and T loops).
Source: RNAcentral
GUCCCCUUCAGAGAGGCCGGGACACCGCCCUUUCACGGCGGUAACAGGGGUUCGAAUCCCCUAGGGGACGCCA